This is a long non-coding RNA of Portunus trituberculatus (swimming crab), 455 nucleotides long. RefSeq lists it as uncharacterized. Lineage: Eukaryota; Metazoa; Arthropoda; Malacostraca; Decapoda; Portunidae. The record is from RefSeq and is a predicted model, not a curated record. The transcript is spliced from 4 exons.
CUUGCAAAUGAUGACGUGUUAUGGCGAUGAUUUGUAAAUUGGCACACGAGAACACUUGGCGGCGCGUGAGGGGCAUCAAAGACCAAGGCGGGGAGGCGCCGCUCCCUGCCGGGCCGCGGCGGGGAGGAGACACGACAAGACAAUCUUCGUUCAGUCUGAGAUGAGAAGGCAGGAGACUAUCUGUCUGUCCCCACACCUGCCCUGGCAAGGACAGCUCAUUGACAGCAAGGGGCGGCUGUAUGUCGGCUCGACGUGCACACGGACAGGCGACAGGCGAGGAUGAGGCGACCACCACUACCACCACCACCGACAUGAGCGGAUGUAGCAGUAGUGAAGCACUCUACCUGCUCCAGUUUUCCAUGGUGUUGGCUUGGGCCUGUUCGCGGUGACCUGACGUUAGGGUCGGAGCAGAGUGUCACCGGAAGCCCUCCAUAUCCUCCACGUCAGCGGCCCCC